UUACUUACCUGGCAGGGGAGAUACCAUGAUCACGAAGGUGGUUUUCCCAGGGCAAGGCUUAUCCAUUGCACUCCGGAUGUGCUGACCCCUGCGAUUUCCCCAAAUGUGGGAAACUCAACUGCAUAAUUUGUGGUAGUCGGUGUUCCGG
RNAcentral lists this small nuclear RNA (148 nucleotides) under Aotus nancymaae (Ma's night monkey). RNAcentral describes it as "U1 spliceosomal RNA (ENSANAG00000013107.1)". It matches the Rfam family "U1 spliceosomal RNA". Rfam says of the family: U1 is a small nuclear RNA (snRNA) component of the spliceosome (involved in pre-mRNA splicing). Its 5' end forms complementary base pairs with the 5' splice junction, thus defining the 5' donor site of an intron. Lineage: Eukaryota; Metazoa; Chordata; Mammalia; Primates; Aotidae. The record is from Rfam by way of RNAcentral.